Molecule: long non-coding RNA, 3002 nt
Filed under: Ananas comosus (pineapple)
Lineage: Eukaryota; Viridiplantae; Streptophyta; Magnoliopsida; Poales; Bromeliaceae
Description: long non-coding RNA (ACOM_LNC015921)
Source: RNAcentral
UCUGGUGCUUUCAAUUUUUUGAUUUUAGAUCAACUAAUCAUUUCUUUGAAUUAAUAUAAUUAGUAACCUGUAGGGACCACUCAAUCUUAGGGAUAUUAUUUAAUCUUAGGGGGGACCGNCCGUUAAACUUGCAAUCGGCUCACCACGGCCGUUAAAAUUAUUGAUUUUGAGCCCCUUCGAUUACUAGGCAAAUGAUAUCGAAAAAUCGCAAAAUUUAUUUUCUUGGUACUUCAAAUACUCUAGAUCAACUGUAACGGAGCCGAUCGUCGAUUCGAAAGCCCGAACAUCAAAAACGACUUGGAAGCACGAAAGCCUCCGUGCUUCCAUAAGCAUACCAGCACAACUCUAUAUCUAUACUAUAUAUAAAAGCGUAUAGAAAUUUCGACAAUGACAGACGGAAUCCAAAAAUGAAUAAAUUAAUAUUUCCUACGAAUGGUUAUGAUUAAUUUGUUAAAAAUAUUUCAAAUAAAAACGAACGGUUAUGGCCAAUCUAUUAAAAAAUAUCUCAAAUAAAAAUGAACGGUUAUGAUCAAUUUAUUAAAUCUCUAUUAUAUAUAAAAAUCUAUUCCCUACAAAUGAUUAUGAUUAAUUUGUUAAAAAAAUAUCUCAAAUAAGAAUAGUUAGGAUCAAUCUAUUAAAAAAUAGUAUUCCUAUCCAUCUAUAAAUUCAAUUCUACGAACGAUUAUAAUCAAUUUGUUAAAAAAUAUCGCUUAUGAUCAAUUUGUUAAAAAAUAAUUUUUUUUUUCAUCUAUUUUACAUUAAAAUUAAAAUUUGAGUUUAAAUUAUGAAUUAAAUUUAAUUUUCGAUAUCAAAUUUGAAUUAAUAAUUAAAUUUUUUAUUAUAUUGGAUCAAAAUUAAAUUUUAAAUUUUAAAGUAAAUGUGAAUUAAAUUUUGAUGCUUUUAAUUUAAAAUAUAUAUUUAAAUUUGAUUCAUCAAAAAACAAGAAGUAUAUAAAAAUGUUUGAUGUAUAUAAAAAAUAGAACAUUGUAGGAUAUUGUAAAUAUUGUUUAAUAAAAUAUAACAUAUUAAUUUAUAAAUAUAAUUUUUAUUGUAAAAUUUUGGAUUUAUAUAAUAUACAAAUUUAUAUUAAUUUGAAAUAAAUUAUAAUAAUUAUUACGUGCAUUUGCACGUAUAUUCAACUAGUAUAUAUAUAUAUAUAUUAAAANCAUAAUCGCACAUCCUUUCAUCAAAUGACUAUAUAUAUAUAUUAAAAAAUAUAUAAAUAUAAUAUAUUUUAAUUAUAUGUAGGUUGAAUGAAUAAUCUGAAUUUAGUUAAAAUUGGGCCAGUAUUGUUGGCCCAUAAAAACAAACCAAAUAGAUAAAUAAAAGAGCAAAAUUUUACUAAAUUUAUACAUUUUUCCUUUCUUUCUUUCUUUCAUAUAGCUCUAAAUUUUCAAUAUAUUUCUCUCUUUCUCUUUUUCUGUCUCUCACCCUAUGUGGCCAAGCCAGAAGCCCUCCAAGUUACCAAAUAGCAGCAUAUGCCUGCCGUUGCUUAUCUUGCUAUUAAUUGUAUGCUUGAGAAUAUAUACAGAAUAUUUUUAAAGUAAAAAAUUAUUAUUCAUAUAAAAUUUUAAUUUUAGUUAUAUAUGAUUGGAUAGUUUAAUCCAAUAUUUAUCUAUAUAUAUAAUUUAUUUAUUUUUGACUGCAUAAAUGAAAAUAAAUAUAUAUGGAGAUUGAAGGCGGAAGAAAAGACACGUGAGACUAAAAAGAUUAGAUAUUCAACUCAUAAAUUUUUUUUUUCAUAUUAUAAUACUAUAUUUUAUAUAAUUAUUUUAUACUUUGAACUAUUAGACAUAAUUUUGUAUCAAAUUAUAAAUAAUGUUCUAUACAAAUUAAACUAUUGAUCGUAUGAUGUUGAGAAUUACAAGCGGCUCGUUUAGGGCUCGAGCUCGUUUAGGGCUCGAGCUCGCUCGACUCGAAAUUAGGCUCGCUCGAGCUCGGCUCGAAUUAAUUUCAAUCCAAGCUUGAACUUAAAUUUAGGCUCGAAAUUAAUUUCAAGCCGAAUUUGAGCCGAGAUAAGCUCGCUCGAGCUCGGCUCGUUUCCACCCCUAGCUCUAAGUAGAUCAACCAUUUGGACAAAUUAAACUAAUGAGAUCCAUGCCACUCGAUCGUCACUGAGGUCGUUUGGUUAGAAUUAAUUACAAAUAUAGUGUAAUUACAGAUGCAUGCAGUUAAAAGGCAGUAGUUGCAAUUAUAUGUAUUCUGUUUGGUUGGAUAUAGUAGAAAGUGCUGUAACUAUAAACAAUUUGGUUGGUUGCAUACAGUUCAGAAAUAAUUUUUAAACAAAAGGUUACUCUCUCCAACUGCCGCAGUUGGAACUAACGCCAAUUUGGAUAUAGUUUCAACUAUUGCAGUUGGUUCUCCUCUUGUAGUUUCUAUUAUCGCAGUUGAAGUUAAAUAUAUCGAAUCCAAUGCUAAAUUUGAAUUUACAUAUAAUUACAACUGCAGUGCAGUUGCAAUUACAUACAACAAAAUAGUUCUUUAAAUAAAUUAAAAUAAAUUAUAAGUUAGUGGAUUUAUUACUUAAAAUAUGUGCAAAUUUAACCUACCAUGCAUACAAGAUUAUUUAUAUAUAUAUUUUUUUGUCUUGAUGAAUUUGUUGAAAACAAAUAGAAAUAUUAUCACGCUUUGUAGUCGAAUAAUUCGUUAUUUGUAAAUAUCAAUCUUCUUAUGCUUCAUUUGGAAUUGUGGGGAGAUUGCGUUACGAGCAGUGAGAAAGUACGUUGUAAAGAUACCCUGUUUGUUUCCGUACGUAAUAUUGCGUUCGGCAUAUCGUGAUGAGUCGGUUACGAUAUAUUUUCUGUGGUCCCAUCGGAGAACGUAGAAACAUAUCUCUAUAUAUUUUUUCCUCAACUCCAUUUUAUCUAAUAGCGUUAGAUAGGUCUCAGUACCAAACUAAGCCUUAAUCUCGGUUGGUGGCAUAAUUUGGCAGUUAGUGUACCUGAUAUUGAUUUAAAACUUAAUUACUGGAAAUCCAAUUUUCAUUUGUUGCCAAGUAAAAU